AUACGGAGGGUGCAAGCGUUACUCGGAAUCACUGGGCGUAAAGCGCGCGCAGGCGGCUUGAUAAGUUGGAUGUGAAAGCCUACGGCUCAACCGUAGAACUGCAUCCAAAACUGUCAGGCUAGAGUGUGGGAGAGGAAGAUGGAAUUAGUUGUGUAGGGGUAAAAUCCGUAGAGAUAACUAGGAAUACCAAAAGCGAAGGCGAUCUUCUGGAACAGUACUGACGCUGAGGCGCGAAAGCGUGGGGAGCAAACAGGAUUAGAUACCCCAGUAGUCC
RNAcentral lists this ribosomal RNA (274 nucleotides) under uncultured bacterium. RNAcentral describes it as "partial 16S ribosomal RNA". It matches the Rfam family "Bacterial small subunit ribosomal RNA", at positions 523 to 796 of the family's 1533-position model. The record is from RNAcentral.